This 506-nucleotide ribosomal RNA is filed under the name uncultured bacterium. Its description in RNAcentral is "partial 16S ribosomal RNA". It matches the Rfam family "Bacterial small subunit ribosomal RNA", at positions 28 to 523 of the family's 1533-position model. The record is from RNAcentral.
GAUGAACGCUAGCUACAGGCUUAACACAUGCAAGUCGAGGGGUAACGAGAGGAAAGCUUGCUUUCCUUGUCGACGACCGGCGCACGGGUGAGUAACGCGUAUCCAACCUGCCCCCAACUAAGGAAUAACCUUGCGAAAGUAAGACUAAUACCUUAUAAUUUCCUCAGAUGUCAUCUGACGAGGAAUAAAGAUUUAUCGGUUGUGGAUGGGGAUGCGUCUGAUUAGCUUGUUGGCGGGGUAACGGCCCACCAAGGCAACGAUCAGUAGGGGUUCUGAAGGGAAGGUCCCCCACAUUUGACCUGAGACACGGUCCAAACUCCUACGGGAGGCAGCAGUGAGGAAUAUUGGUCAAUGGGCGAAAGCCUGAACCAGCCAAGUAGCGUGCAGGAUGACGGCCCUAUGGGUUGUAAACUGCUUUUAUACAGGAAUAAAGUUAGCCACGUGUGGUUAUUUGUAGGUACUGUAUGAAUAAGGACCGGCUAAUUCCGUGCCAGCCGCCGCAGUAA